Molecule: long non-coding RNA, 986 nt
Filed under: Nicotiana benthamiana
Lineage: Eukaryota; Viridiplantae; Streptophyta; Magnoliopsida; Solanales; Solanaceae
Description: long non-coding RNA (NBEN_LNC011230)
Source: RNAcentral
GCAUUCGCGGCGAUUUAACAUAUAAUUAUGGCGUUUCGUACCGAUGCUAUCUUUAUUUUUAAUUUUUGAUAUAAUUUUUAGGUUUAGUUGGAAAAGGCAUCUUCUCGCAAAUUAGAACUCAUCGUUCAGAACUCCUCUCCGUCCAGCGCUUUGUCAGACCCCCUUCGCCAGCGACUCUCUCUCUUCUCUUCUCUCAUCUCACAGUCUAUCCUUUAUCUCCUAUUCUCUCCUUUCCUACUCCUCUUCUCGCUGAGGCCCUUAAUUCAAAAUACGGAAGGGAAUGGAGAAGCGUCUGGUCUACGAUGAAGCUCUCAUGGAGUUCGCAAAACUACGUCGCAGCUUUAAUGAUAUCAACUAUCAAAUUUAAAUAAAGUUCAACCAGGUCCUUUAUGUUUUUAUCUCCUUUUCUCUAUAUAUUGAUGUGGAUCUAGGGUUUUAUUUUUAGGUUGCUUUACUCUGUUAAUAUACUGUUAGAUGCUCAAAAUUUGUGUCUUAGCUUUCAUUUUUAAUUUUUUAAUCUAUCUUAAGGCACGAUUUGAUUUGUGAUCGAAACAUGGUUGACUGAAGAAAGCGUAUGGAGUAAAGUUCUUGUGGCCGUUUUCUGAUCAUAUUCUCCAGAAAUUGAUUUUGAAAAAUCAAUGCAUCUGCGGGCAGUGAUGCUCAAGUGAAGGAUGGUAUUUGGUGCAGACACUACCUAGAGACAUAUUCAUUUGGCUUUCAUUUGAGCUUUCUUUAUAUUUUUGUUAUUUUCCUUAGAAUUUUUCGUUUUAUUUGUAAAGUUAGGCUCGUAACCUCUUUUUGGUUUUGUUUUGGUGUUGGCAAUAAGCCCUUGGUUUUCUUAAUGUCACGGUUCUUUCCAAGAGUAGGAUGUUGUGCGAACCGAGUGGCUAUGCCCAAUGAUAGAUAGCGUGACAACUUUAUUAAGAUUUGAGUCAGUUUUUGAUUUUUCUUUUUUGUUUUCAAGUUUUUGUAGUUAAGGGUACCUC